UGGUGGAGUGAUUUGUCUGGUUAAUUCCGUUAACGAACGAGACCUUAACCUGCUAACUAGUUGCCCUAAGUACCCUUGGGGUGAACUUCUUAGAGGGACUUUAUGUUCAAGCAUAAGGAAGUUUGAGGCAAUAACA
This 136-nucleotide ribosomal RNA is filed under the name uncultured eukaryote. RNAcentral's name for it is "partial 18S ribosomal RNA". It matches the Rfam family "Eukaryotic small subunit ribosomal RNA", at positions 1299 to 1458 of the family's 1831-position model. The record is from RNAcentral.